UCCCAGCGGAGCGCCUACGAUGCCCGCGCACGGUAAGGAGCGCGGGAUGCGAGGUCUGCCGCUGCCCCGGCGGGGAGGGGGGAUGGCCUCUUCCUUUCGCUUGGACGUUGGGCCUGUCUCGUACUGCUUGAGGCUGGAGCCGGCAGGUGUGAUGGAGAGGUGGUUUUCAGUGGUGCCAAGUACGUUGUACAUUAAGCACCUGAUGGAAGGACCAUCGCAAGUAGAAGAAUACUUGGUACAGACAAGUGGAUUUUCCUGAAAAACGUAGUGGCAUGAACAAUUUCUAGUAAUGGCAAUGUGACGUCCUGAAGAAAGAUUUCCUCACAACAGGAAAUGAAACAGAGGAAAACAAGUGUUUUAUAGAAAACAAGUAGGAGCAAGUGCUUUUGGCUUAUUCAGUCAUGAAUUGGAGUGCUUUGUCAGAACUGCCUGACAAAUGUGGAUGAUGUAACCAGAAGGAAGUGUAACACCUGAAGACAUAUUGUGGCUUGAAAUGGGAUGCCAUGCUUUUAAAAGCCUGCUAAAACAGCUGCCAUUUUGUUCAGUACUCUCACUGCAUAUUUAAAAUGUCGUCCUUCCAGAAUACUGAACUGACUCCUGUAGGAAGUGUAGCAGUAAUAUUAGGGAAAGGAGUACAUGAAAACCUUUUGGUUUUUUAACCUUUUAAAAAACCGUAUGUGUACACAGUCUUGCAGAUACUACAGAUCUGUGAUAACUAAGGAGUGGAGCUCACAGGCAGGCCCUAUAAAGGCAGGGUGAAAGCAAAGAAAAAAACAAUGUCUACAUCUUGCAUCACUGUAUCUAGUAGUGGAGUGAGGAGUUGGGGUUUUAUAGACUGCCUUUUCAGCAGGAUAAGACUAAUAUCACAACAGUGGAACUGCUCUUUGAGGAAUACACUGGCACAACAGUACUUGCUUGCUCUCUGGGGCAAUGAGGUUCUGUGGGAAAAGAGUUACAUACAUGGGAACUUGGGCUUUUGUCUUGGUAUGAAAAGACAGGACAGGUGACUGCUAAGGAACGCAAGAGCCUCCCUUGAAAUGGGAAAUGUAAACCUCUUCUCUCCAAAUUAUGAUUUUGAAAUUAGGGCCUCUCGGGCAAAGAUACGGGAGUAAGAAUAACAGUUCUUUAUUUGGAAUAAUAAAAGAAAAAAUAAAAAUUCAGUAAUACAAAACAACACAAACUCAGUCAGAAUACGACCUCUCACCCUGUUGGUCAGAGUGUUGGUAACAGUCCUAAUUAAAUGGUGGCUGCAGUUCUGGAGUGACAUCUGUGAUGCUGUUCGAGCAGUAGUCCUCUGGAAGGCUGUAGUUUUCCUCUGAAGGUCCAGUGAUGGUGUAGAUAGGCCUGACCUUUCUCUGGGAAUCCAAUGGAGAAGAAGGGUGCUCUGAAAAUCCAAUGGGAGAAGGCUGACUGUGGUGUUCUGAAUCUUAGAUUAUAUCCAGGUAGGAAUGCUUGGGCCCUCCCCCUGGGCAGAACAUCUCAAAAUGGGAUGAUGUAAUUUUAUCAAUCAUGCAGUGAGACUCAAAGGCUUUUUGACAGAAGAUGCCUUCCUGGAGGGAGGAUCCCUUGUGGAAGAGAUAAAGAAAACUGCCCAGUUAACAAAAGAUAACAGCCCUAUCUCUUAACAGAUGGCAAAUCGAAUACACACCCCCAGCUACAUCUUGCAACUUAAGACAGCUUUUAACAGUCACUUAAAAGAGCUGGUGCUGUAAUCACAGUAACACCAUAUUUGCUGUAUUCAGCAAGCUGUCCCACAGAGGAAUGAAGGAUCAUAAAUUGGUCAUCAACUACAUUUAAAGACAACUCAUGGUGUACAUAAGGUAAAAUUAGCAUUAAGCAUCACUUUCAAGCCUUAUUGUCAGGAAUUCUUUAUAACAGCAGAAGCAUGACAGUAGCAUCUUUUAAAAUUCAUAGACCUGCUAUUACUCAAUCAUUUUGAAAUCUCCAAAAUACAUAAAACAACCCUAUAGUUCAUGGUGUUUACCUGUUCAUCAGUGAUAAAUUCCAUGAAAAGUCCAGUUUUCUGUCAAAGUACUAUGAAGUAUAAACACUACUAGGAACAGCACAUAAAGCACAUAUCUUUGAUGUUGGAAAUAUCAAAAAUAAUUACACUACUGAAGUGGAUGCUAAGGAUCUGACUGAACUCCAGGAGUGCAUUGGCUCACUGAGCAUCUCCUAUGGUUUGCUUAUUAAGCAGUGGCCAGCUACUUUGGCUAAAGGCUGCUCAUUUUGAGCAAGGAAUGGUAAAUCAGUCUAUUGAAUAUCAAGAUCUGCAGAAAUGAGCUAAAAGAUAGCUUUGUCUUCAUUGCUUUCAACAAUACUUAUUUCUGUUAACAAAUGUUACUGAGAAUGGUGUGUUUUUUGAUGUGCCAUGUUUUGUACAUGCUUUUAAAUAAAGAUAAGGCUGUUAAAGUCAUGGCUGUUGCAUGUCAGCUGAGGAUCACACCCACGGUGUUCCUUGACUGCUUGUACUUCUCGAGCUAUGGAGGCAAUGUAGCCGUGUGCUGACUGGUGCAGCAUGUACUGGGCACACAAAGCUUCAAGUUCUGCUUGAGUGACUCCAGGACAAAAACUGCUGACUGCGUACUGAAGAAGUCAGAAGGUAAGGUUAUUCUCAACCUUGUGCCCUCUGCAAAUGUACAAGUGGGUGCUGUUAACCGUAUUUAAUAGAGCUGCUUGGCUGGUUAAGUAGAAGUUUUCAGUCCUAGCUAGGUCAGUCUCUUCUGGAUGUUAAGAUGUCAAAGAGACAUGGUUGACAGAAUAGCAGGAUUUGGUAAGUACUUUAAAUAUUUAAGGCAGAUAUGACUUGAUUACAGGAUCAGAUGAGUGGCAUGUGGUUUUGAGAAAAGUACCACCUUUAUCCUUGAGGCUGAUGUUAAACCAGAAUGUUAACCUUUACAGAGAAUGCUAUAUGUAGGUGCAGUAAAGCUGGUGAAAGUGAGUUUAUCUUGUGAUGUUUGGGAUGACAUAGAAGACUAAAGGUUCGUGGUUGUGGGUGGCAGUUCAGGUACCCAAAGUACUUCAUGACAGUCUUGCUCCGUAUGUUCUAAAACAUUUGUUGUGGAUGGUCUGGAGGUAGGAUUGACAGCAACAGCUAAAGAAAUAAAGUUACGUCAUAUCAGUGUGGUGGAGGUGUGUCUCAAUGUUGAAUCGUGAAAAAGAUUGGCCUCUGAGCAUAUAAAAAAAAAGUAGCUGUGGCCAAUGGUAAGGCAUAUUGAAUACUGAGCUAUAGAACUUAAGGAAUGAUCCUAUACUUCCGAGCUACUGAAAAUAGGUAGCCAAUUAAAAAAUGUGUAUUAGUAGUAUAGGGAGUCGUGUUUACAAAAGUGCAUUACUGUUUUAACCCUGACAUGUUCCAGAGGAUCUGGUUUAUAAGACCAAUGAAGAUUAUGUAGGAAGGUCAUGUUUGUAAAUUUAACAUGGAAAAGAUUACUUUUGUGCCUUGUGGGAGUGGGUUACUGUGUUUUCAAACCUUCAAACCAUUUGUCGAUUUAGUUCUGGUAAAUUUUCUGGAGUGAUGUUCAGUACAAGUGAGAUAAAGAGAUGUAGUCUUGGAGAGUAACUGUGUGACACAUUUGGAAUAUGUGGCAUGGGAUUUCUCUGCAAAAGCGUUUCAUGAAACUUCAGGUUUACAAAACAGAUUAUUAAAUUCAAAGCUUUAAGAUUGUGCAGUAAACAGCAUGAAAGCAUUUUGCUGCUUUUGUGCUUUAGUCCAGUGAAGUCUUGCACUAGCCAUCAUUAGUGGGGAGCUAGAAGUGUCACAUGGCUGUUGGGCUGUGGUCCAAGAAAUCAGUGGUUAAACAAACUGUUCUGGAAUGUUGCCAUUUAUUGGUCUUAGUAACUGGGCAAAACCAGCAGAGGCUUAGUAAUUAAAUGAAUGUUGAGCUUACAAGCAAGAAAAGUACCUUGCAACCACAUGGAAUAUUCGAGAGUAGCUCUGCUAAAUGCUUUGCUACUACUGAAGUAACAAGGUCCUUAUUAAGGUGGGAGGUUUUGUCUUGCUGAAGAACUUGUCUUACUAGUGAAGGCUGUGAUCUAUAAUCAAGAGUUGCAAGUGGGUGAAACUAAGCUAGCAAUGGUUAUCUUGCCACAGCACCCACACUGCUAUGUGACUGCCAGUGCUGGUGUGAGACCUGCUUGAAGUAGCAGAUUCCAGUGAACAGGAAUUUCAGAAUAAGCUGUGCUGUCUGGCUGCCAUCCUGUAGAGGAGUGUGUGACUGUGGGUGCAACUAUAUGGUGUGCUGGUGUUGGGGUUCCUACCAUCUUUCCUGCAGGAAAGCUCUUAACUGUAUACAUUUGCCAUACAAAGUUUGGGGUAUCUGUUCUGCCAAUUAAAAAUCAGUAUCGAAAUGAGCUGAUAAAAGCAUUCCAUGGGUCAUUCAACCAUGGACACAGCAAAACCAACAAGUGUUUGACUUUACCCAAGGAAAGGCAUUCUAUAUACCAGAGUGUUCAGUCCUAAAUUUGGUAGCUUUUCUUCACAUUCCCUUCCUUUGUCCAGAGGACAAUCUUUGAGCUAUCAUCUGGAGUAUGAAUGAAUUUACCAGAAAAAUAGUAAUUUCAGAUGAGUGGAGUACACAUGGAGGCUUAUUAUGCUAUGUAAAUGCAUGUCUGAUGAUGUGCAUUCUUUAUUUUUUGGUGUUACAGCUGGUUUUAUGAGCAUUUUUGGUUGUCUGCCCUUGUAUUUCACUCAGGGGAUGUAAACUGGAAAAGUACAGUUAGAAUGAUGAAUUCUACUUCCUCUCAAACAUCAUGUGGCUUUUUAGUUGAUAGUCCAGUUGAGCUAUCAGGGCUAUGAAGACAGUACUUCUCUGCCAUUGUCUCAAACUUCCUGCAGGCUCCGGAGGACAAAGUGGUGUUUGAUGCUCAGAAGAAUGGCUGUAUUGAGUGGGACAAAGUCUGCCUCGUUCAGUAUUCUGUCUGAGGAUGACCAGUAUAAGGAACAGAAGUAUACAGAGCUUUUCCAGCAGUUUUCUUGGGAAUCUUCUGAGAUUUUAAUUUGUGUUUGAAUACUACUUUGCAAUUAUGACCUAUCUCCAUUUAAAAAUAUUUGAAACAUCAAUGAUAUGUGGGCUGUAAAAUAGACAUAGUGAGUAUGUUAAUAAGUGUAGGGAGGGGGCUGAAGUAAAAGCUUUUUUUUUCCCCUUUCUGGAGCUGAUGUCACUUUUGAUUCUCAUGUUACUGAAAACAGUGGUAAGUGAAGCUCAGUGAGGGCCCCUGUGCAAGGACAGCCUUGCUGUUUAAUAGAGCUGUGUUGGGCAGGAAAACUUGAAGUACUCAUGUGUGCCCCUACCCCUGAGCUGUACUUCAGGCUUCUCACCAGACCAAAAAGCACUCUUUUUCUCUGAAACUGGAGUUCUCCCUAACUGAAGGAGCACUCUCCCAGCAUCCAUGGAACUAGUUUUAUCGUGUCAGGUGAAGAAUGAUUAGUAUCUGUCCCAAAAUGAAGUUCCUUUUUUUUUUAUGGAAAGAAAGAGAUGGACUGUAAUAUAACAAAUGCUUAGACUUUCCAAUCAACUUACCAACUUCAAAGUAAAGGUAUUUUUAAAUAGUUUUAAGAUCACUGAAGAAGAAUAUACAGCUAUUGCUAUAUCUAGGUUUCAUCUUACCUUGACAAAAUAGGAAAUAAUUUGCUCUAGGCUUACCUUGGUUUCUUUCAGAGUCAGGACUAUUUCAGAUACUAGGGUCCUGUGAAAAACAUUUGAGACUUAAACUCUUGUGUGUCUCAAGGUUUAAGCCCAGCCAGUAACUGACUACUGCAUCCCACCUGCCCUCGUAGGAUGGACAGGAGAAUAUGAGGAAAGGUAAAAGCAAUGGACUGAAAGGGGAACAGAAUUGAAAUUAAACAUAAUAAUUUUACCAUAAAGGAAGACAACAAAAAGAAACUCCAAGGUAAACAAGUGAUGAUACACAAUACAAUUGCUGAUCACCUGCUAACAGACCCAGCCUGGGUGAUGGAUCCAUGCUUCCUGGUCAGCUUCCCCCACUUUAUGUACUGGGCAUGACAUGCUAGUAUAGAAUAUCCUCUUGGCCAGUUUGGGUUAACUGUCCUGGCCUUGCUCCCUCACGGCUUCUUGAGCCCCUCCUGACUUGCAGAGACUUCUGGUUGUUGCUAAGUAGUGCUACCCCAACAUCAAACCAUUAUUAACUAUUCUCAUACUUAAUCUAAACCACAGCACUAAGAAGUACCAGCUACUAAGAAGAAGACUAAUCCAGCUGGAACCAUGAUGGUCUGUUAGCUCUGUCUAGUAGUUAGGUCAUUUUCUGCAGCAAAAAAUACAAGCGACGUUGCUGUCUUUUGUUUCAUGCACUCCACCAGAAAGUACAAUAUUGAAACAAGGUGAGGGGCAGUUCUUACUGUGAUUGUGACUUCAUAACUGAAACAGUUCAUGGUAUGAUUAUUCAUUCCAUAGAAUAUUCGAAUAAGCAUUUUCUGAAAGUAGUUGGAUUAUGUAGUUUCUGAUUCUGAACAUUUUAUUAAACUGCCUAUUUGCUACUGCAAACAGAAAGAGAAGUUUGGUUUGUGGGAAUUAGUGCUUCUUUCCCUCUUCCUGUUCCACAGAUUAUAAACCACACAAUAUAAAAAAAUGUAACGGCAGGAACAGGAGUUACCUCUAAAACAUCUUGAAAUUGCAAUUUAUAAUAGAUACUAUUUCAGUGCUGAGUGUUUCCUCAAAAAAUCUGCAUGGCAGGGAAGAGUGUCUAGGCUUUUGAAAGUGUUUCUGAAGUAGUACUCUUACACUUGUCUGAACUGGCUUGUCUUCAUUUACAUGUACUUCAACUUAAUUUCUGUUGCUAGUGAGAAGCUGUUCAGUGUAGUUUCUGCUAAUUUGACAUCCAGGAUGUAAGGCUGCUGGAAACCUUUUUUCCAUUUAAAAAGAUCUUAAUAUGGUGAUCCUUUGGCAGGGAUUGACUGCAAGGUGUUCUGUCGUGGUUUUCCCGUGUUCUUAAAUGCUAUGAGAAGAUGUCAGGAAAUUCCAUGAGUACUUUCUCCUGAGAGUAUUAUAUAGUUUCUAGUUUUAUAAUUGCAAAAGUAAUACUGAACAAUUGUAGCUACUGCUUGUUUAUUUUCUAUAAAAGUGCAGUCCCUUUAUUGAGCCAUGGUGGAAAUGUGAAAAUCCAGAGCUUUUACCUUACAAAUAUGAUUUGUUAGGAGCUGCAGAUGUGAAGAGACCUGUGGUGUAAGGACCAUUUGCUUUCUGAUGGCUAUUGCCUGACAGCACUAACUUUUAAGGGAAAAUAGCCACUUAGCUUUGGUUUUUGGUCGAAGAAACUUGACAGUGACCAGGAUGAUUCACUAUAAUAAAACUCUCUCACCUACCUGUAAGAGAAGAAGAGGAAUUCUGUUAUUCUGAGGUAGUGCUCCUGGAGGUGCUCUGUCUCUUUGUUUUAUCUGCUGUUUUUUCCUAAGGGCUACUUGGAGUUCUCUAGUGGUGAUUUUUUUCUUUUGAGGUGAGACUAGGAUAUCCUAAAGUAUUGUUGACUAUUAACUAGUAAAAUGCAUUUAAAAUGAGGUAGGAAGUAUGCAUAUUUGGUCUUUCCUGAAGUUACAUCUUUUAUAGAAAUCUUGAACUUCUACAGAUAAUCUUCUCUAUCUCCCACCAUAAAAUUUCUUACACUGGGCCAAGGUUGGGACCUUGUUGUCCAAAACUUUUAUAUUGCACUCAGUUUUGCCCCAGUCUCUUCAAGAUACUAUUCCUCCUCUUCUAUACUAGUCUUGUAUUGCUUGCCUUUUAACAGUUAUGUAUUAAACAUAAACCACAAAAAUUCUGUAAGACUACUGCAUAAGCAUUCAGUAUUAAUCCCAGAAGGGCUGUAAGAAUAUAUGAAACUUCUGUGAAGGGAAAAAAAGAAAGAUCUCUGGGACUCGAGGAUAUAGUAACAAAAUAGAAAUUUGUGAUGAGUUUUAAAACAAGACCAGCUCCAACAGUUGAUGUAAUUUGACAGCUGUGAUUUGCUCUUCAGAAAUCAGAGACAGAGCUUGCAAAUAAGUCACUUAUGAGGUAAAUUGCAGAUCUAUCAGCAAGGACAGCUAGCAGGGCUUCAGAUUGUUUUAGAUAUGGAAGGGAAAUACUUCUUUCUCUACUUCUCUGUUCUCACUGAGCUAUCUGCUGGAAAGUUUCAGGCUAUAAAAGUAGGUGUUAGGAAAAAAAGUGGAAGGUGAGUAUUAUUUUAAAUAAAAACCUUUUUCUACUCACAAUUAAUGUAAUAGGGCUAAAACUCAACUGUACUUUGUAUAGAAUUCUCCAAAAAGCCAUGACCAUUUUUCAGUAAUAUCUGUUUUGUAGAAAUAGGCUUGGUUGAACUUGCUCUUCUCUCCUUGAUUAUUUUCAAGUUUGGCUGGGAAACAGGCACCUCAAAUUCAUUAAAAAGGCAGAAAUUAACGUCUGUGAAGAUGACAGCCUUUUCUAUAGCAGCAGCAAAAAGGACUAUCAGCAGAAUUGGCAUCUGGCCCUGGAAGCAAAACAUUCUGAGCUUCUGCUAAAGCUUCCAAAAGAAGCAUGAAAAUGAGAUUUUAGAAAAUUCUUGGGCUGUCUUGAUUUCAUAUGCAGUCUAAUCCUACUGCUCAACUUUGGUGAUUAAAAUAAAUAAUAUAGAAAAUAUUGUCUUGGGCCAAGAAACAGAAAGUUAUGAAGUAUUUCUUUUCUGUGGUUCACUGAGGUAGUCUCCCCUUUUGCUGGGAUUUAACCUCAACAUGAACUUGGUCAUUGUUGGAGUGCAUAGACUCACUGCUUGCUAAGACAUCUGACUAGCACUUGGGAUGGCAGAGGCUCAGAGGAAAAGCUGAUGUGUUACCAGCACUACUGUUACCCUAAGGAUGGAAGAAAUAGAAGAAACCAUUUGUGUCACCUGGCUGAGCUAUAGAAAACAGGUGAACUUCUAGGCUGGGAAUGUCUCAUGUUCAGGGUUCAUUGUGUUGGUUUUUGUUUUGGUGUAGAAUGGGGGUUUUUGUGUAUAGCUUACAAAAGUUUCUACUUUAACAGCCUUCCCUUCUUAAUUCUGGUUCUAAUUUUUUUCCAUUGUGCACUGAGACUGGAGGAGUUUGAAAUCUUUUCAGACUAAAAAAAUUAUUCUGCACUUUCCUCACUGCCUCUUUUGGCUGCAGCAGGUCUGUAUCAAUACUGUUGAUCUGAAAUUUGUUAAGAGUUUUUAUGCAUCAAGUUUACUAACCAGGACUGUUUAAAGGGAUUAAAAUAAAAGUUGGUACUAAAUUACAAACCUUUGCUUUUUAGUGUCAUAAGAUCAUCUCUUGGGUAAGAAUUAUUUUAUAAUUUUUCUUAUGAGACACAUAAGAUGUGGAUAUGGCAGUAAAAUCUAAAAAUGCCUGACCUGGAAGGGUGUGAAAGAAUUUAGAAACUUCUACAGUUAACUGUCAUCAGUUAUUUUAACUGUUUUUUUUUAUGGACAUGCUCACUCAGCUAUUUUUAUUGAUUCUGCUGAAUCUAACUAAGAAUGGAUGUAUUGGCAGUAAAAAUGCAUAUUCUCACACAGUUGCAUUGUCUCCUCUUGCUGCUCAGUAGGUGCCUCCAAACACCACUCCCCAUUGGUACAUAACUGCAGUUGGAAAACACAAGAGCUAUUAGGAGUGUUCUGAUUAAUUAAAAUGUGGUGUCAAUAAACAAGUUCACAGAUGUAUUAGCCAGGUAUUUACCCAGUCAUAAAUGUAUUAUUUUUUAAAUUGAUCUUAAUACAUUUAAGCUUUCAAAAUGAAACUUCCCUGUAAAUAUUCUUACUGCUAUUUAAAAUCUAAACUUUAAAAAAGAAAAAAACAACCUUUUUUGGUUUUUUUACAGGAUCAAAACUAACUGAAAUUUUUUUAAAAGCAGGUUAAAAGCAUAAUAUUCUUUAUCUGUCCCCUGCAGAUCACAGAAUAACAAUAUAUAUUUUUUCUAGUUACCAGUUGCUGUGAAAAAUUAAAGAUCUAAACCUGUGCUUCUAAAGAUCUAAACCUGUGCUUCUAGCAGCACAGUACAGCUGCAUUAGUUGUACCAUAUUAAAUUACAAAUUUGUUCAGGUUUGAGCACGGGUUAUGUUGCCUGCACUGCCCUGUGCAAAACUAUGAAGAGAUUCCUGCUUAAGGCUGCACAAACUGGAAAGGGAAAACUUAUACACAUGUGUUGAAGCUCUAUUUUAGGUUAAGAUCUAAUUCUAGUAUCACUCAAGGCCCAUGUAGAAGUCAAGAGCAGAUCCUCCAAAAGAAGAUUAUUGAAAAACAGCAAGCACAGCCUGAGGUACUGAUAAGAGUCAGAGUUCUUUAUCCCUGUGCUCUGGUCUGAUGUUUGUGCUGUAAAUGAGAAUUCCCAUAGGGCAGCAUUCUCCAGGUAUCUUUAAGAAAUAAAAUAAAAAAUCAUUUGUACACAAAAGGUUGUAUGAUCUGCUCUUGGGAUCUGCAGAAAUGCUGCAUUUUGGUAGUCACUUCUGCCUUGCACCUGGUAAGGAUCAUAAAAGUGUGUGUGCGUGAGCUUGUUCUAUUCUUACAAGGACCAUGAGACACAAGGUUAUUUGGGCUCACCCAUCCUUGAAAGGAUUUUUAGGUUCUUUGGUUACAUGCUAAGUAGCCUAGAACGCUUGACCUGGAAGCUGUGUGUUGCAGCUGCUGCAUCAGACACUUUCCUGAGUAAUCAGCCAUGGAAUUACUGGCCAACUAAAACGGCCUGGGACAUAAGCCCAAUUUCUGGCUACUGAUCAUCCAUACCAUAAAGGGUUAAUGCACUCUGACAGCUAAAGCCUGGGCAGCAGUUUAAUAUUUGGGCAUGGUUUAAAAGUUAAGGUGGAUGAGAGCUUAGCUGUGGGAUUGCAAGCUGUGCUCUCCAUAUUUGCCUUACAGCUGGAGAACAGCCCAUGACCUGUCCCAUCAGCUGCGUGCCUGUGGCCAUUGUGUCUGUGGUUUGCUGUGCUCUCCCCUCCUGGGAAAGAUGCCCAGAGCUGGAGAAGAACAUUCUGUGACCUAGUGACAUGCUGUCUGCCUUUGGAGAUGGGCUUAGUGCAUUGGUCUUCUUGUACUCAUUGGUUUUACAUGGAUGUGCUGGGAGGAACGGAAGUCCAGAUGUGGCCUCAGUGUGGUUCUGCAAUGACUAUAACUGGAACAGAAGCAGGCAGGGUUUUUACAUACCAGGAAAAUUUAGGAAUCAACACAACUUUCCUUGUGGUGAGAAGCUGUCAAACUUCCAGGUAUGUGCAGAGAAGCUCCUCAUGGAAAUCUAAGUCACCAAGUAAGUACAUGCAAGUGUUCUUGGCAAGAGUAUUUUUUUAAUCAAUGUUUUACAUGAUUAAAAAUCAUGAUUAAAACAUCCCCACUGGUUUCAUGUAUCUUCUCACAGAAUUCAGAAUAUUCUGAAUUGGAAGGGACCCACAAGGAUCAUUGAGUCUGACUCUUAAGUGAAUAGCCCAUGCAGGGAUUAAAUUCCUGACUUGGUCUCAUUAGCACAAUGCUCUACCCAAUUGAGCUAAUCUCAGGGUUUUCCUGGGCAUGCCACUUUUGGCUUUGAUAUUAGGGCUAAUAAUGGGGCUUUAUUUGGAGGAAUUGUGUGUCAGACUCUGUGCUUCCUGCUUUCUAUGUAAAAUUUCAAAGGAUCAAAUAACUGCAACUCUGGGUCAGCUGUGAUUUUAAGUAAGGGUGCAAAUCUGUUCACUCCGUUAUUCCUAGUCUUUUUAUUGGUUUUGCUUCCAUUUUAUGGAGGAAAAAGUUAAAUGCAUAAAAAAGUUUUCCUCUAAAAAUGGGCCUGAAAGCAGGACUUAGUUUCUCAGGAGUUUGCCACCUACAGUUAGUCAGAUUGACUGGCUGAGAAUUAAAAUAAAACACAAGAAGUUCCACCUCAACAUGAAGAAUAAUUUCUUUACACUGAGGGUGGCAGAGCACUGGAACAGGCUGCCCAGGGUGUUCAUGGAUUUCCCUCUCUGGAGAAUUCCAAACCCACCUGGGCAUGUUCCUGAGUAACCUGCUCUAAGCGACCCAGCUCCUGGCAGGGGAGUUGGACUGGAUAAUCUCCAGAGGUCCCUUGCAAACGUAAUGGUUCUGUGAUUUUUCAUUAGUUCCAGAGAACAAGUGCAUUUAUGAAAUUCAGGUAAUAUUCUGGACCACAUCUGUACUAUAAACAUAACACUGAAAAACCUUCUAUAAACAACAUGCUUUGGUGCAAAUCCUCCAAAACUGGAAAAAUUGGAAAUGUGAAAAAAUGCUCCCCAGGGGUGCUUUUGAGAAUAUUCACUGCCCAGCUGACAGCUAUGUUCUUGGAAAAAGUUA
Molecule: long non-coding RNA, 12244 nt
Organism: Serinus canaria (Common canary)
Lineage: Eukaryota; Metazoa; Chordata; Aves; Passeriformes; Fringillidae
Exons: 7
Source: RefSeq, a predicted model, not a curated record